ACUGAAGUGGUGAAAUUGGCAGACACGCUAUCUUGAGGGGGUAGUGAGUAUACUCUCGUAGGGGUUCAAGUCCCCUCUUCAGUA
RNAcentral lists this transfer RNA (84 nucleotides) under Jakoba bahamiensis. Its description in RNAcentral is "tRNA-Leu". It matches the Rfam family "tRNA". Rfam says of the family: Transfer RNA (tRNA) molecules are approximately 80 nucleotides in length. Their secondary structure includes four short double-helical elements and three loops (D, anti-codon, and T loops). The record is from RNAcentral. Lineage: Eukaryota; Jakobea; Jakobida; Jakobidae.